Molecule: ribosomal RNA, 732 nt
Filed under: Salmonella enterica subsp. enterica
Lineage: Bacteria; Pseudomonadati; Pseudomonadota; Gammaproteobacteria; Enterobacterales; Enterobacteriaceae
Description: partial 23S ribosomal RNA
Rfam family: Bacterial large subunit ribosomal RNA
Source: RNAcentral
GGGUUGUGAGGUUAAGCGACUAAGCGUACACGGUGGAUGCCCUGGCAGUCAGAGGCGAUGAAGGGCGUGCUAAUCUGCGAUAAGCGCCGGUAAGGUGAUAUGAACCGUUAUAACCGGCGAUACCCGAAUGGGGAAACCCAGUGUGAUUCGUCACACUAUCAUUAACUGAAUCCAUAGGUUAAUGAGGCGAACCGGGGGAACUGAAACAUCUAAGUACCCCGAGGAAAAGAAAUCAACCGAGAUUCCCCCAGUAGCGGCGAGCGAACGGGGAGGAGCCCAGAGCCUGAAUCAGCAUGUGUGUUAGUGGAAGCGUCUGGAAAGGCGCGCGAUACAGGGUGACAGCCCCGUACACAAAAGCGCAUGUGCUGUGAGCUCGAUGAGUAGGGCGGGACACGUGGUAUCCUGUCUGAAUAUGGGGGGACCAUCCUCCAAGGCUAAAUACUCCUGACUGACCGAUAGUGAACCAGUACCGUGAGGGAAAGGCGAAAAGAACCCCGGCGAGGGGAGUGAAAAAGAACCUGAAACCGUGUACGUACAAGCAGUGGGAGCACCCUUUGGGUGUGACUGCGUACCUUUUGUAUAAUGGGUCAGCGACUUAUAUUCUGUAGCAAGGUUAACCGAAUAGGGGAGCCGGAGGGAAACCGAGUCUUAACCGGGCGUUAAGUUGCAGGGUAUAGACCCGAAACCCGGUGAUCUAGCCAUGGGCAGGUUGAAGGUUGGGUAACACUAACU